This is a long non-coding RNA of Rosa rugosa (rugosa rose), 2466 nucleotides long. RefSeq lists it as uncharacterized. The transcript has 8 exons. NCBI's taxonomy places the organism in Eukaryota, Viridiplantae, Streptophyta, Magnoliopsida, Rosales, Rosaceae. The record is from RefSeq and is a predicted model, not a curated record.
UUCAUUUUUUUCCAACACCCAGACGGACAAAACACCAUCAAAGCACAAUUUCUUUUUCAUCCGUCUUUUUCUCUCCCCAAAAGACAAGUACCUUCAUCUUCAUCUACAACCAACCUCUGUGUCACUGAAACCUGCAUCGCUGAUCCCUAAUCAUCAACCCCUCAACUCCCGACCCCAAAAUUUCUUCAACCGUCGAAACCCUAACUCGCUCUCUCCAACUUAUUCGCGAACCCCUCAUACUCCACCGCACUCCGACACAAUUCCUGCAUCUACAAAAAACCAAAGAAGUAGUUAGUGAGGAGAGGAAGAUGAAUGAGAGGAAGUAGUUAGCAUUCUCCACCUCUCUCUUCUAUCUUCUUUCUUUCCAAGCUCCACUCCCCCAAUUCCUCCCCCAACUCCAAACCCUAUUUUUCUCUCCGCUGCCUCUAUUUUCUGCCGCAUCGAUCAACACUUGUCUCGGACAAGCCAGUCCUAGACCUUAUACUAGAUGAUAUCCGACGAGCAACACGGGGAUUCCAAGUUCGAUCUUCGAUCGGAGUCUCCACCAAAAAGUCCACAAGCUCCUCGAAUCGGCGCCGUUUCAGCUAGUUUCUGGUGAUGUGAAGUUCACGGUGGUGGCCAAGGAUGGGUUUUGUUAACAAUUGAGGCUUGAGGAAUCUGGAUAAUAGAAGUUGGAGAAGGGAAAGUUGCUGGGUCAGUUUCAAAUCGGAAAUUGUUUUUGUUACAUCUUUUGGAUUGGCUGGGUUAUGGUUUGAAAAAGGGUGAGAGCAGUUGUCAGUUUCUGAUCAUCUGUGGAGGAAUUUUGGUUUGUAGUUUUCAAUCGAUUUGAUCUGCAGAGGGAGCUAUAUUCUUCAGUUUUGUUCUGCUGGAGAAGAAGACAAAUUUGGGUUGUGCCUAUUGAAGGGAGAGAGGUUUGAAGUGGAAGCAAAGAAAAGAGACCUAAUGUUUCUGAGCUGGAGCAGAAGCUUUCAGAACAAUCCAAGACUCUCUUACAUCUUCAACAAAAGGUUGAUGAUUUGGCAUCAAAGGUUUGUUUCUUUUCUUUAUGUAAUUUUUGGCUUUGGACAGUAUUUGCUUGUUUGUCUCAUCGUUUGUAUUCCAUAAGUUACUGUUAUUUGCUUAUUUUUCAACUAUAAUGCUUCUGUUAAACUUAGUUUGUUCUGCCGGAUUCCCGAGGUUACUGCUGAUGAUUGCUACUGCAAAUAUGCUACAUUAGUUGAUUACUUCAGUGGACUUAUUGUCCAUUGUUUUGUAGUAGUUCAUUUUCUCCAGUGCAGUUUUGUUUUCCAUCAAAAAGAAAAAAAAAAAAUGUCCCAUCUUUGGUGUAUGGUUAUGGCAAUUGUAUAUCAGCCUUCUUUGACUAUAAUUUUCAACUCAAAUCACAAACAAAUUCCUCCUCAUUUUGAAAAGUUGCUGUGCCCAUCUUCGUUUCUCCUGUUGACGUUAGCUCCACUACUGUCAUUCCCCUCUAACCAUAGGCUCAGAGAGCCAGUGUUACACGAGUACUUGAGUUUUUUUUUUAACUCUUUGAUACAUAAAGAAUCUGCCUCAUUACCUUUCCAUUUCCUUUUGACGUUCAAAGGGUGCCCAAAGAUCCAUUUUCAUUUUAGCAUUUUGUUUUAACAUUCCUUUUUUUUCCCCUUAUUUAUCUUGAAUUACUUUUUACCAAUGCCUCAAGUCUAUCUUAUUACUGGUAAUGAACGCUCCUGCAAUUUUGGGUUGUUCCUUUACAUAUUGUGUACUUAUAAACUGUUUUUUCUAGUUCUGUUAUUAUUGCUUUCUUUUUCCCGUUGUAAUAAUUAACUCCCCUUAAUGCAUAUAGCAUGCUUACAACCCACAUGGUUAUAACUCUUGCCUCUAGCUCUUUUUACUUUGGAUGGUUAUUUAUUGUUGGACCUUUUGCUAUGUAAUUAUACCUGUCUUAUUUGCAGAAACAACAUUGACAAAGGGGAGGCAUUAGAUAACCUGGAUAUCAUAUAUCAUAUUUGUUCCUUUAUUUGAAGGUUGAACAAAGAUGUAAAUCGAACUAGGAGCACUGGAAUAAUUGGUGAUAGAGGAUCCAGAGAAAGUCAGGUUUCGGUCGAUCACCCCAAUCUCCUUUUCAAGCAUAGUUGCUGCCCUGUUUUGGCAUAAGUCGAGUGGGAUAGAGCCUAUACUUAAUAUCCAGCGGGAGAGGAGAGGCAGCAGCCAAUAUACCCAAGAAGAUAUUGAUCAGUUGCGAAAUGAGUGGGAGAAGUUUGUGGUGAAGAGGUAUGUGUAGGAGCCAUGAAGUAGUUUGCUAAUGAAGUAGUUUGUGCUUCUCUGCUAGUACAUUAUUCAUGCACCAUAUAUGUGGCAUGUUUAAUUGAACAAUAUAUGUAAUUGUAUACGCUUUUGAUGUCCCAAGUAGAUGGACAUGUAUAUGAAUGCUUUUCUUCUAUUAAUGGUUGCUUGGAUGAUGGGGAAAUGCUCCAUUUUAACAUUUAA